Molecule: transfer RNA, 68 nt
Filed under: human gut metagenome
Rfam family: tRNA
About the family: Transfer RNA (tRNA) molecules are approximately 80 nucleotides in length.
Source: RNAcentral
UGGUGUAGCUCAGUUGGUAGAGCAAUUGAUUUGUAAUCAAUAGGUCGGGGGUGCAAGUCCCUUCACCA